GUAUACGGUCAUACCCGUGGCACACGCAGGCGAACCCAUCUCGAAUUCGCAACUUAAGCGCACGUGGGCUUGGUCAGUACUGGGGUGAGGGAUCACCCGGGAACCCCAAGUGCCGUAUGC
Molecule: ribosomal RNA, 120 nt
Filed under: Guillardia theta
Lineage: Eukaryota; Cryptophyceae; Pyrenomonadales; Geminigeraceae
Source: RNAcentral